UAAUAAGUGUUUUAUGGCACUUUUUAAAUCCAUAUCCACCUUGUGUGCAAUGUCAGUUGUAUCUCUUAUGGAGAUCGACCAAACAUCAACCUAUUUUUUAACUCUUUGUCUGAAAAAUAUUAUGAAUAAAUAAUUCAAAAUA
RNAcentral lists this unclassified non-coding RNA (142 nucleotides) under soil metagenome. RNAcentral describes it as "partial internal transcribed spacer 1". The record is from RNAcentral.